This 1761-nucleotide long non-coding RNA is filed under the name Macaca mulatta (Rhesus monkey). RNAcentral describes it as "lncRNA (ENSMMUG00000049417.1)". Lineage: Eukaryota; Metazoa; Chordata; Mammalia; Primates; Cercopithecidae. The record is from RNAcentral.
CCAGAUAGCAGGUUGUCAGUAAAUGUGUUUUUAAUAAGUGUUUUGUUUUAGAAAAAUUUUACAUUUGUAGAACAUUUACAAACACAGUACAAAGAGUUCCUGUCCACCCCUCACCUAGUUUGCCCUUUUGUGAUUUCAAACAGAUGGUAAAGUAAACUCAGAAUGAAAGAGCCCUCAUUGUAAUCAUUUUCUGAACAAAGACACCGCAUAUGAGCCUGUAACUGCAACCAUCUCCCUGUAGGUCAGCCGGCAACAUCCUGUCAGAUCAGCCCAGCUGGAAUGAACCCUGGGUGUCAAAGAAUGUUCUGGGAAUUUCCCGGAGCUUUGUGGAUUUCAGACCUGACACUUCACUGGCUCUUACAACAGAGGGGAAGUUUCCAUACAAUUCAGUGAUGAAUGAAUCUGAGAAACACGGAAAAAGGGAUUAGGAGCCAGCCUUCCUGCUUACUAACUGCACCUGAUGUGACUCGGCAGGAAACUUCCACCAAAACACACACAUUCUCCAUAAGCUGGUCAUCCUCCUAUACACUUAAUCUUUCCCAACCAAUCCUCCCAAAAGAAAAUAAAUAUUUGUAGAUGAAAGGAGAACUGCCUUCUCAUCCUUUACAGCUGCUGGUGUGCAAGCUGUUAAGCAUAGAGUGUUUAAUUAAUGGAUAGAUACCAUUAGAGAGACAGCUGGACCUGCAUCCAGAUGAGUUUGGAUUCAAGGUGCCAGGAGAUAAAGAUCUGAAAGUGGGAAAGCUGAACUGCAAUUGGGUUCAUUUAUAAAAGAGGCUGUUAAAGGUCAACUGUGUUUUCUUGUGCUAGAGAUAAAGAGAUGCUAUUAAAAACAAUUGGAAAGUAAUUCAUAAGGGAGCAGUAAGUCACUCAUGUUAAAUUAAUUUGUCUUUCUGAUAGCGUGGCACUCAUGAUGGGAAAGUAAAUUUACCCAAAAUCAAGGUCUUUCAAAAACAGCCAUUGAUCAUGUCUUCCCCGCAAAGCCACUGAAAUAAACUCCUUUGUGCUGGGACCACUGGUGCUGUGUGAUCAUAGCAUCUCCAUAGUUCAUUGAAGCCCCUUCCCAGGCUGAGAAUUAACCAAUUAUUCUGAAGGACAGCAAGUGCAGUGACAUUUCUGUGGAUAUGCUGAGAUGCCUGAGCCUGCUGAUGUCUUUCUGUCGCCUCUGAUGAACUAGUGACCAAGCACCAGAACAACCCAUGAUGCACAAUUCCACUUUCCUGAAUUUAGCAACGUAUUAAAACAUUCUAGCCCUCUGAGCUCCACUUACAACCCUCCCACCUCUCUGUCACUACAACACACCCCAUGUUCAAACAUAUACUUACCAUGAUGAAAACUUUUUAAUUUAUCCAAAGAAUGUAUCUACAAUUACGAAUGGCAGUUUGUUUAACUCCACAUAGUGACAUCAUACAUUUUCUCUGUUCAUCUCCUCUUCAAGGUAAAGCCUUUCAUUGAAACACUAUGAACUGUUCUCCUCUUCAGUUUCCUGAUGCCAGCACAUGGUACAACAAAGGGUGAUUGCUUAGUGCUCAGAAAUGUCAGCCUAUUAAGACACAUCUUCAUCUUUCUCUGGGCAAGAUGGAGAUUGUGUCUAUUUGCUGCCACGCAUGGGGAUGAGAGGGGAAAAAUCCACUCCAUCAGAUUGUGAUUCCUGUAGACUUAACCCUGGGUAUUACCAGGUUCUCUCUCUCUCUCUCUUUGUUGCCAGAGGAUAACUGCUUGUUGCUUCUUUUUCUUUCUUGAGAUUGAAAACUAAUUGGGGUC